This 235-nucleotide ribosomal RNA is filed under the name uncultured Lactobacillus sp. RNAcentral's name for it is "partial 16S ribosomal RNA". It matches the Rfam family "Bacterial small subunit ribosomal RNA", at positions 127 to 355 of the family's 1533-position model. Lineage: Bacteria; Bacillati; Bacillota; Bacilli; Lactobacillales; Lactobacillaceae. The record is from RNAcentral.
UGCCCAAGAGAUCGGGAUAACACCUGGAAACAGAUGCUAAUACCGGAUAACAACAGAUGAUGCCUAUCAACUGUUUAAAAGAUGGUUCUGCUAUCACUCUUGGAUGGACCUGCGGUGCAUUAGCUAGUUGGUGGGGUAACGGCCUACCAAGGCGAUGAUGCAUAGCCGAGUUGAGAGACUGAUCGGCCACAUUGGGACUGAGACACGGCCCAAACUCCUACGGGAGGCAGCAGUC